RNAcentral lists this ribosomal RNA (254 nucleotides) under uncultured bacterium. RNAcentral's name for it is "partial 16S ribosomal RNA". It matches the Rfam family "Bacterial small subunit ribosomal RNA", at positions 524 to 777 of the family's 1533-position model. The record is from RNAcentral.
UACGAAGGGGGCUAGCGUUGCUCGGAAUCACUGGGCGUAAAGCGCACGUAGGCGGAUCGUUAAGUCAGGGGUGAAAUCCUGGAGCUCAACUCCAGAACUGCCUUUGAUACUGAGAAGCUUGAGUCCGGGAGAGGUGAGUGGAACUGCGAGUGUAGAGGUGAAAUUCGUAGAUAUUCGCAAGAACACCAGUGGCGAAGGCGGCUCACUGGCCCGGUACUGACGCUGAGGUGCGAAAGCGUGGGGAGCAAACAGGG